AAGGAAAGCAGCCAUUGCCUGGAGUUACCAAUACCAAUAUAACAGCUGAAGCUGAAGAUGAAGCUUCGCCCAAAGACAACAAGGAGCAAGAUGACCUGCAUCAGAAGGCAG
Molecule: long non-coding RNA, 111 nt
Organism: Fundulus heteroclitus (mummichog)
Lineage: Eukaryota; Metazoa; Chordata; Actinopteri; Cyprinodontiformes; Fundulidae
Exons: 3
Source: RefSeq, a predicted model, not a curated record